This 467-nucleotide ribosomal RNA is filed under the name uncultured bacterium. Its description in RNAcentral is "partial 16S ribosomal RNA". It matches the Rfam family "Bacterial small subunit ribosomal RNA", at positions 28 to 507 of the family's 1533-position model. The record is from RNAcentral.
GACGAACGCUGGCGGCGUGCUUAACACAUGCCAGUCGAACGGAAAGGCCUCUUUCGGGGGGUACUCGAGUGGCGAACGGGUGAGUAACACGUGAGUAACCUGCCCUUGACUUUGGGAUAACUUCAGGAAACUGGGGCUAAUACCGGAUAGGAGCUCCUGCUGCAUGGUGGGGGUUGGAAAGUUUCGGCGGUUGGGGAUGGACUCGCGGCUUAUCAGCUUGUUGGUGGGGUAGUGGCUUACCAAGGCUUUGACGGGUAGCCGGCAAGUGAGGGUGACCGGCCACAUUGGGACUGAGAAACGGCCCAGACUCCUACGGGAGGAAGCAGUGGGGAAUAUUGCACAAUGGGUGGAAGCCUGAUGCAGCAACGCCGGGUGCGGGAUGACGGCCUUCGGGUUGUAAACCGCUUUCGCUCGUGACGAAGCUUUGUGUGACGGUAGUGGGUAAAGAAGCACCGGCUAACUACGUG